GGCUGGUUCGCUCGGCUAGUUAGAGCGUGAUGCUAAUAACACCAAGGUCGUGGGUUAGACCCCUGUACUGGCCA
This is a non-coding RNA of Ameiurus melas (black bullhead), 74 nucleotides long. The record is from the annotation of a GenBank genome assembly. Lineage: Eukaryota; Metazoa; Chordata; Actinopteri; Siluriformes; Ictaluridae.